UCGAUAUCGAUAGGUGGGAUAAUCCUUACCUGUUCCUCGUUUUGGAGGGCAGAUAGAACAUGAUGAUUGGAGAUGCAUGAAAUGUGAUUAAUGCCUCUGCCUAAUCAGGACUUGCAACACCCUGAGUACUCCUCUCUGAU
RNAcentral lists this small nucleolar RNA (140 nucleotides) under Pongo abelii (Sumatran orangutan). It matches the Rfam family "U8 small nucleolar RNA". From Rfam's summary of the family: U8 is a member of the C/D class of snoRNA which contain the C (UGAUGA) and D (CUGA) box motifs. The record is from RNAcentral. Lineage: Eukaryota; Metazoa; Chordata; Mammalia; Primates; Hominidae.